RNAcentral lists this small nuclear RNA (151 nucleotides) under Exidia glandulosa HHB12029. RNAcentral's name for it is "U4 spliceosomal RNA". The stretch from base 1 to 126 matches the Rfam family "U4 spliceosomal RNA". From Rfam's summary of the family: U4 small nuclear RNA (U4 snRNA) is a component of the major U2-dependent spliceosome. The structure of U4 snRNA from yeast and human has been reported. Lineage: Eukaryota; Fungi; Basidiomycota; Agaricomycetes; Auriculariales; Exidiaceae. The record is from Rfam by way of RNAcentral.
UCUCUUGUGCUCGGGCGGUACUGUCGACAGUGAGGGAAACCGAGUCACAGUUAUUUGCUAUUUGAAAACUGAAGUUCAUACUUGUCCGGGCCUUUAUGGUCUCGGCAAUUUUUGUCAUACCCUCUCCACCUCCCCACCGCUGCUUUAUGGU